This 329-nucleotide unclassified non-coding RNA is filed under the name soil metagenome. RNAcentral's name for it is "partial contains 5.8S ribosomal RNA, internal transcribed spacer 2, and large subunit ribosomal RNA". The stretch from base 1 to 120 matches the Rfam family "5.8S ribosomal RNA", at positions 35 to 154 of the family's 154-position model. The record is from RNAcentral.
GAUGAAGAACGUAGCGAAAUGCGAUAAUUAAUGUGAAUUGCAGAAUUUAGUGAAUCAUCGAAUCUUUGAACGCACAUUGCGCCCCCUGGUAUUCCGGGGGGCAUGCCUGUCCGAGCGUCAUUACAACCCUCAAGCUCAGCUUGGUGUUGGGCCCCGCCGCCCCGGCGGGCCCUAAAGUCAGUGGCGGUGCCGUCCGGCUCCGAGCGUAGUAAUUCUUCUCGCUCUGGAGGUCCGGUCGUGUGCUCGCCAGCAACCCCCAAUUUUUUUCAGGUUGACCUCGGAUCAGGUAGGGAUACCCGCUGAACUUAAGCAUAUCAAUAAGCGGAGGA